CCUACGGGGGGCUGCAGUGGGGAAUAUUGGACAAUGGGGGGAACCCUGAUCCAGCCAUGCCGCGUGUGUGAAGAAGGCCCUCGGGUUGUAAAGCACUUUCAGUGAGGAAGAACGCCUGGUGGUUAAUACCCAUCAGGAAAGACAUCACUCACAGAAGAAGCACCGGCUAACUCCGUGCCAGCAGCCGCGGUAAUACGGAGGGUGCGAGCGUUAAUCGGAAUUACUGGGCGUAAAGCGCGCGUAGGUGGCUUGAUAAGCCGGUUGUGAAAGCCCCGGGCUCAACCUGGGAACGGCAUCCGGAACUGUCAAGCUAGAGUGCAGGAGAGGAAGGUAGAAUUCCCGGUGUAGCGGUGAAAUGCGUAGAGCUCGGGAGGAAUACCAGUGGCGAAGGCGGCCUUCUGGACUGACACUGACACUGAGGUGCGAAAGCGUGGGUAGCAAACAGGAUUAGAUACCCCUGUAGUC
Molecule: ribosomal RNA, 465 nt
Filed under: Vreelandella stevensii
Lineage: Bacteria; Pseudomonadati; Pseudomonadota; Gammaproteobacteria; Oceanospirillales; Halomonadaceae
Description: partial 16S ribosomal RNA
Rfam family: Bacterial small subunit ribosomal RNA
Source: RNAcentral